Long non-coding RNA from Salvelinus namaycush (lake trout), 1200 nucleotides. RefSeq lists it as uncharacterized. NCBI's taxonomy places the organism in Eukaryota, Metazoa, Chordata, Actinopteri, Salmoniformes, Salmonidae. The record is from RefSeq and is a predicted model, not a curated record. The transcript is spliced from 3 exons.
UUCGCUCACACUCCUCUCCUGCCUACCUGGUUGCCUGCCUCAUGACAAAGCAAACACACAUUUUCAUGGACAACAAGAUUUUAGAAUAUUCGCAUGAACAUCGGUUGCCAAUUGGAUGGAAACCUAGCUACUGAAUAAAUGUGUUUGGCACAAGAUAAAGAAGAUGAAACAAUCUACUGCUGCAACCCAAGGCCAACGGAUACUGAAGUUCCUGAAAAGGCAAUCAGUUCCUACAGUGAGCGCCUGGGAACCAGCCUCUGAUAUGUCAGAUGGAGACCAGGACAACACAAAGUUAAAUUUACACAUAAAAACUUUUUUACAAAGUUUACUGGGUAUAGUGUUAAAUGUAACCUUGCCUUGUUACAAAGUCUACAGUGUAUAGUGUUACAUGUAACCUUGCCUUGUUACAAAGUUUACUGGGUAUAGUGUUAAAUGUAACCUUGCCUUGUUACAAAGUCUACAGUGUAUAGUGUUACAUGUAACCUUGCCUUGUUACAAAGUCUACUUUGUAUAGUGUUACAUGUAUCCUUGCCUUGUUCCAAAGUCUACUUUGUACAGUGUUAAAUGUAACCCUGCCUUGUUACAAAGUCUACUUUGUAUAGUGUUACAUGUAACCCUGCAUUGUUCCAAAGUCUACUUUGUACAGUGUUAAAUGUAACCCUGCCUUGUUACAAAGUCUACUGUGUAUAGUGUUAAAUGUAACCCUGCCUUACAUAAAGCUUACAGAAUUAAUAAUUGCAGAAGAGCACUGUGAUGUGAGGAACAAAUAAUAGGUUUUAUGAAAAAACAAAAAUACUUUUCAACAUUGAAACCUGUCUUGAAACCUGUCUGUCUGUCUUGUUUAUCAAGUCAACUGCUUAACAUUGUGUGUAUAGAGUGAAAUUAAUAUUUAAAGACAUUGUAACCAUUCUUUGGCAUAAUGCUCAGCCCUGCUAUAGUAGUUCACUAAACUACAGAGUAUGUUGUCCAUUGAAGUUGUCUGUAGCUCUUUUGAUAUCAGAUUCAGAAGGAAUAAUAACAAGGUUUGUGAUGGUUUGAUCCACCUUAGGCCAGGAGUGUUUCCAAUUCACAUGACCUGAUGAAAAGGGAAGCUAUCGAAAAUAAUAAUAUUUUGUCAUAGCCUACGAAUAGGACGCAAAGUUUUACCUGACCAGGUCAUGAGGAAAAACUCCAGGCCCCUACCAGCUUUCUUAAAAUCAA